This 430-nucleotide ribosomal RNA is filed under the name Acidobacteriota bacterium. RNAcentral's name for it is "Acidobacteria bacterium partial 16S ribosomal RNA". It matches the Rfam family "Bacterial small subunit ribosomal RNA", at positions 355 to 776 of the family's 1533-position model. Lineage: Bacteria; Pseudomonadati; Acidobacteriota. The record is from RNAcentral.
UGGGGAAUAUUGGACAAUGGGCGCAAGCCUGAUCCAGCCAUGCCGCGUGUGUGAAGAAGGCCUUUUGGUUGUAAAGCACUUUAAGCGAGGAGGAGGCUACUUGGAUUAAUACUCUAGGAUAGUGGACGUUACUCGCAGAAUAAGCACCGGCUAACUCUGUGCCAGCAGCCGCGGUAAUACAGAGGGUGCGAGCGUUAAUCGGAUUUACUGGGCGUAAAGCGUGCGUAGGCGGCUUUUUAAGUCGGAUGUGAAAUCCCUGAGCUUAACUUAGGAAUUGCAUUCGAUACUGGGAAGCUAGAGUAUGGGAGAGGAUAGUAGAAUUCCAGGUGUAGCGGUGAAAUGCGUAGAGAUCUGGAGGAAUACCGAUGGCGAAGGCAGCCAUCUGGCCUAAUACUGACGCUGAGGUACGAAAGCAUGGGGAGCAAACAGG